This 750-nucleotide ribosomal RNA is filed under the name uncultured bacterium. RNAcentral's name for it is "bacterial SSU rRNA". It matches the Rfam family "Bacterial small subunit ribosomal RNA", at positions 41 to 794 of the family's 1533-position model. The record is from RNAcentral.
GGGGGGCCUAACAUGCAGUCGAGCGGGAGCAGGACACGGAAUUUUUCGGAAGGAAGUGUGUUUGCUUUAGCGGCGGACGGUUGAGUAACGCGUGGAUAACCUGCCUCAUACAGGGGGAUAACAGUUAGAAAUGACUGCUAAUACCGCAUAAGCACCCGGGAGCGCAUGCUCCUGAGUGAAAAGCUCCGGCGGUAUGAGAUGGAUCCGCGUCUGAUUAGCUGGUUGGCGGGGUAACGGCCCACCAAGGCGACGAUCAGUAGCCGACCUGAGAGGGUAGCCGGCCACAUUGGGACCGAGACACGGCCCAAACUCCUACGGGAGGCAGCAGUGGGGAAUAUUGCACAAUGGGGGAAACCCUGAUGCAGCAACGCCGCGUGGGUGAAGAAGUAUUUCGGUAUGUAAAGCCCUAUCAGCAGGGAAGAGAAUGACGGUACCUGACUAAGAAGCCCCGGCUAACUACGUGCCAGCAGCCGCGGUAAUACGUAGGGGGCAAGCGUUAUCCGGAUUUACUGGGUGUAAAGGGAGCGUAGACGGUUGUGCAAGUCUGAAGUGAAAGCCCGCGGCUCAACUGCGGAACGGCUUUGGAAACUGUGUAGCUGGAGUGCUGGAGAGGUAAGCGGAAUUCCUGGUGUAGCGGUGAAAUGCGUAGAGAUCAGGAGGAACACCGGCGGCGAAGGCGGCUUACUGGACAGUAACUGACGUUGAGGCUCGAAAGCGUGGGGAGCAAACAGGAUUAGAUACCCUGGUAGU